ACUGAACGCUGGCGGCAUGCCUUACACAUGCAAGUCGAACGGUAACAGGUCUUCGGAUGCUGACGAGUGGCGAACGGGUGAGUAAUACAUCGGACGUGCCUAGUAGUGGGGGAUAACUACUCGAAAGAGUGGCUAAUACCGCAUGAGAUCUACGGAUGAAAGCAGGGGAUCGCAAGACCUUGUGCUACUAGAGCGGCCGAUGGCAGAUUAGGUAGUUGGUGGGAUAAAGGCUUACCAAGCCGACGAUCUGUAGCUGGUCUGAGAGGACGAUCAGCCACACUGGGACUGAGACACGGCCCAGACUCCUACGGGAGGCAGCAGUGGGGAAUUUUGGACAAUGGGCGAAAGCCUGAUCCAGCAAUGCCGCGUGCAGGAUGAAGGCCUUCGGGUUGUAAACUGCUUUUGUACGGAACGAAAAGCCCCGGGUUAAUACCCUGGGGUCAUGACGGUACCGUAAGAAUAAGCACCGGCUAACUACGUGCCAGCCGCCGCGGUAA
RNAcentral lists this ribosomal RNA (497 nucleotides) under uncultured bacterium. RNAcentral describes it as "partial 16S ribosomal RNA". It matches the Rfam family "Bacterial small subunit ribosomal RNA", at positions 30 to 523 of the family's 1533-position model. The record is from RNAcentral.